This 124-nucleotide ribosomal RNA is filed under the name Prolemur simus (greater bamboo lemur). The record is from RNAcentral. Lineage: Eukaryota; Metazoa; Chordata; Mammalia; Primates; Lemuridae.
CCAUGUAGAACACUGAACACUCCUGAUAUCAUCUGAUCUUGGAAGCUAAGCAGGGUUGGGCCUGGUUAGUACUUGGAUGGGAGAUAGGCCAAUCCUCUUGCAAGACAACACUUAACUACAUGAC